ACUACGAAGUGACUGCAGCCCCUAUUCCCCUAUACUGCUCACAAAGAGGAAAUAGACAAGCGUGAAUGGGGUCAAAGUGUGAUUAUAGUUUGCUAUUAUCUUCUUACUACUCUAGUUUAAUAUUAAUAAGCAAUAGAUCAUAUUAAUCUCCCUACGCCAGUCUGUUUUGCUCAUUAUGGCAACUAGCGAGCAGUCUCCCUGUCCUUAUUUCAACUCGUGAGCUCUUUUUCAUUGUAUUUUCUUCCCUUUAUCUUUUGAGGAAGCGGAAGGAGAGAGGAGUUUGGUGGAGUCGAGCUGCCUAUCAGCAUGAAACCACCACACAGCUCAGAGUACCAGAAUGAGAAAAGAGGAAACAAGAAACAACAAGGUGUGAAAUGUCACUGUGUGCCAGCAUCACCUGCCAAUGACGUUUUCAGCAGGAAAAACUGGAAGAGGACCUCAUCUCCCUAAGAAGAAAUGACCAUCUUUCCCAAAGUGGAGGAACCAAACCAUGGGGAUCCUAAAAGAUUUGUCCAAGGGAUGAACAAGCAAGAAAUCCUCACCUACCCAGCCACCAGACAUUCACGUUGUCCUGUAAAUUUCCACCUAGAUGAACUGCUGCUUCACACAAGUAUAGUAUACAUGCAUAUGUACAUAAAUAUGUUUCACAAAGUGAGAAGAAAAGAAAGAACAGAGAGUUACCUCUUUUUGCAGAGCCUGCACAGGUGGAGGGAGGAGCAGGUGGCUGACUGAAGUGUUUGCUUCAGUACAGCCCCUCUAUCUCACUGGAGCCCACUUCUCUGUCCCCGUUUGGCUCCCAGAAGAGAUCCGUGUCUGACGGAGGACACUUGGGGCAGGUGAGCACACCCCAGUCCACUCCCUGGAACUCAGCCUCCCGCUGUGUUCUGACACGGGCUCACUGGCCGGAUAUUCCCUCCAGCCUGAAGGACCAAUGCUGGAGGAGACUGGCUCCCGAGCUGUUCCUGACAUGCACUGGCAGCUGUCUGCCUGUCGUUCUUUUAAAGAGUCUUCAUGGAUCAGGAUAAAAAUGUGAUCUUACGCAGGCGGCAUUGUAAGCACAACUUGGCUCAAGUUCAGCUCUUCCUCUGGCUCCCAGCUACUCUAUUUUUAAUGAAGGAAUUUGAGGCUAUCAGAAAGGAAGUCAAAUUGUUUUAGGAAAACAAUAGAAAAGCAACUUAAAGUUUAUUAGCUUCCUGCCCAGGGCCUGGGACCAACUUGUCAAACUUAUUAGAGUGAUGGCAGAGCUAUUUGUUGAAAAGGGCCAGCGACAAGACUCACAAUUUCAUUCCUAUUUAGACCUUGGUGAAAACAAAGGAAAGCCAUAAAAUAAUAUCUGAAGGGAGCAGAUGGCUAACUGCUAAGUGGUGCAAGCAAAGCUGGCCUCUGAGCCAUUCAUGGUGUUGACCAGUGCAGUGGCUUUAGUUGGAUUUUGUUAUCAGGUGAGUGCCCAGGCCUGCAUUCACAUUUCAGCCCCAUCACCCCAAAUUACUUGUGUUCCAAUUUUCAAAUCAAAAUCUCCCACUAAGGUUAUUGAUAUGGCAGGAAAAGGUCGUCAGUAGAGCUACCGAAAA
Molecule: non-coding RNA, 1571 nt
Organism: Phasianus colchicus (ring-necked pheasant)
Lineage: Eukaryota; Metazoa; Chordata; Aves; Galliformes; Phasianidae
Source: RefSeq, a predicted model, not a curated record